UACGGUCACAUGACGUUGAAUUAUCGGUUCCCGUACGAUCACAGAAGUUAAGCAACGUCGAGCCGGGUUAGUACCUAGAUAGGUGACCGCUUGAAAAUAAUAGGUGCUGUAA
Acanthosepion pharaonis is the source of this 112-nucleotide non-coding RNA. The record is from the annotation of a GenBank genome assembly. Lineage: Eukaryota; Metazoa; Mollusca; Cephalopoda; Sepiida; Sepiidae.